This is a regulatory RNA element of 215 nucleotides. It matches the Rfam family "T-box leader". Rfam says of the family: Uncharged tRNA acts as the effector for transcription antitermination of genes in the T-box leader family. The record is from Rfam.
ACAUAAGCUGUGAAGGAACAUAGUACGUUACCUCUCGACUUGUCAGGGAGAAGAUGCCAUAGACUGGAAGCAUCUUUAGGAUCGAUGUAGCUGAAUUCACUCUGGAGCUGACACUUGUCCGGUUGAAUAACCGUUAUUGCAAUGAAGUGAACGGUGCAUUUAUAUUGCACUGUUAAUUAGGGUGGUACCGCGAAAGAUAAGUCUUCGUCCCUUUU